RNAcentral lists this long non-coding RNA (640 nucleotides) under Ananas comosus (pineapple). Its description in RNAcentral is "long non-coding RNA (ACOM_LNC032475)". Lineage: Eukaryota; Viridiplantae; Streptophyta; Magnoliopsida; Poales; Bromeliaceae. The record is from RNAcentral.
GCGGAAAGUGAAAGCAAGUUGUCUAGGGAUGUCACCAACCGUCCCUAGAGCAAGUGACAAAGGGUUUACUAGUUGGUACCCAAGGUUUUAAGUUCGAAUCCUAGUUGAUUCACAUUUCCAGCUAAGUUUAUUUCUAAAUGAAAUAAAUGAAGCGGGUAGUAUGCUAUCUAUCUCUCUAAAAAAAAAAAGUUGUCUAGGGAUGUGAUCAAUGGGUAUGGAUAUUCAAAAUAUUAUCCGAAUCCGAACCCGAACGGGGCGGUUUUAUCAGAGCUAAACGAAUAUGAAUUCGGUUAUGGAUAUAGAAAAUAAAAAUUCGACGGAUAUGGAUACGGGUAUAGAUUUUGUAUUUACUUGACCCGAACCCGAAUCCGAAUAAAUUAUAUAUAUACAUAAUCUAUUUUUAUUUAUUUAUAUAAUAUAUAUAAUAUUUAAUAAUUUUUAUCCAUUAGAUCUUCAUCCAAUAGUAUGGAUUUUUAAAAUCUGCCGGGUUGGGGUCCGGGUCCGGGUUCGGGUUUUGAGUUUUUGGUCGGGGACGGAUAUGGUUAUGGAUUUUUAAAACCUAUUGGGUUCGGGUCCGGAUUUGAAUUUUAAUUUUAUUUUUGGAUUUGAAUUUGGGUUUUUGAAAACCCGACCGAAACCC